GUGUUCACUUCGGCAGCACAUAUACUAAAAUUGGAACGAUACAGAGAUUAGCACGGCCCCUGUGCAAGGAUGACAUGCAAAUUCGUGAAGCAUUCCAUAUUUUU
RNAcentral lists this small nuclear RNA (104 nucleotides) under Saimiri boliviensis boliviensis (Bolivian squirrel monkey). The record is from RNAcentral. Lineage: Eukaryota; Metazoa; Chordata; Mammalia; Primates; Cebidae.